AUUGAACGCUGGCGGCAGGCCUAACACAUGCAAGUCGAACGGUAGCACAGAGAGCUUGCUCUCGGGUGACGAGUGGCGGACGGGUGAGUAACGUCUGGGAAACUGCCCGAUGGAGGGAGAUAACUACUGGAAACGGUAGCUAAUACCGCAUAACGUCGCAAGACCAAAGUGGGGGACCUUCGGGCCUCACACCAUCGGAUGUGCCCAGAUGGGAUUAGCUAGUAGGUGGGGUAAUGGCUCACCUAGGCGACGAUCCCUAGCUGGUCUGAGAGGAUGACCAGCCACACUGGAACUGAGACACGGUCCAGACUCCUACGGGAGGCAGCAGUGGGGAAUAUUGCACAAUGGGCGCAAGCCUGAUGCAGCCAUGCCGCGUGUAUGAAGAAGGCCUUCGGGUUGUAAAGUACUUUCAGCGGGGAGGAAGGCGGUGAAGUUAAUAGCUUAACCGAUUGACGUUACCCGCAGAAGAAGCACCGGCUAACUCCGUGCCAGCCGCCGCCGUAA
Molecule: ribosomal RNA, 504 nt
Filed under: uncultured bacterium
Lineage: Bacteria
Description: partial 16S ribosomal RNA
Rfam family: Bacterial small subunit ribosomal RNA
Source: RNAcentral